RNAcentral lists this ribosomal RNA (421 nucleotides) under uncultured bacterium. Its description in RNAcentral is "bacterial SSU rRNA". It matches the Rfam family "Bacterial small subunit ribosomal RNA", at positions 360 to 793 of the family's 1533-position model. The record is from RNAcentral.
AAUAUUGGGCAAUGGAGGAAACUCUGACCCAGCGACGCCGCGUGAGGGAUGAAGGCCUUCGGGUUGUAAACCUCUUUCAGCAGGGAAUAAGCGAAAGUGAAGGUACCUGCAGAAGAAGCACCGGCUAACUAUGUGCCAGCAGCCGCGGUAAUACAUAGGGUGCAAGCGUUGUCCGGAAUUAUUGGGCGUAAAGAGCUCGUAGGUGGUCGAUCACGUCGGAUGUGAAAUUCUGAGGCUUAACCUCGGACCUGCAUUCGAUACGGGUUGACUAGAGUGUGGUAGGGGAGACUGGAAUUCCUGGUGUAGCGGUGGAAUGCGCAGAUAUCAGGAGGAACACCGAUGGCGAAGGCAGGUCUCUGGGCCAUUACUGACACUGAGGAGCGAAAGCGUGGGGAGCGAACAGGAUUAGAUACCCUGGUAG